Molecule: long non-coding RNA, 530 nt
Filed under: Monodelphis domestica (gray short-tailed opossum)
Lineage: Eukaryota; Metazoa; Chordata; Mammalia; Didelphimorphia; Didelphidae
Description: lncRNA (ENSMODG00000037488.1)
Source: RNAcentral
AAGGGAAAAGAUCCCACUUGUACACAUAUAUCUAUAGCAGCUCCUUAAUUUCAAUGCUGUUGAGCAUCUGGUUCCUCAGGCCAGCCAGAACUUCACCACCUACAGCAACUCAGGUGUACUGGGUUUAUCUGAAUUUGAGAUGCAAAGGAUUGAGUUGCUACAGCUGUUACAUUCUUGGGAGGAAUCAUUCAAGUCGCCAUGUUUGUGCUGCAUCUGGGCAGUGCCACAUUCUUGCUAACAGAACCUGUGAUCAGUGCAAUGAAAACUGGAGCUGCCACCCAUGUUGUGACCUCACAAGUCAAGUUUCUCCUUGGAUUGAAAACGCCCUAUAUCUCAGGUCCAUUGGGAUUCUUUCAUUUGAGCAAGCUGAGACUCAGAGAGUUUAAGUGGCUUUGUCCAGGCACCUGGUUUUUAAAUAUCAGUCAGGAUUCAAAUUCAAGACUCUCAAACUACUAGAGAAAGCCUCACUUCCCACUCCUGAUGAGUUACAUAAUUGGUUUACAAAUAAACAUUUAUAUACUAAAAAAACA